This 90-nucleotide microRNA precursor is filed under the name Mus caroli (Ryukyu mouse). RNAcentral's name for it is "microRNA 1951 (MGP_CAROLIEiJ_G0007745.1)". Lineage: Eukaryota; Metazoa; Chordata; Mammalia; Rodentia; Muridae. The record is from RNAcentral.
UGGGUGGGGGUUUAGAAACCACCUCUCUUCACUUACUUCUGAAAAAUUAAAAGGUAGUGGAGACUGGUGUGGCUGAACCUCUUGCCUCCC